This 537-nucleotide long non-coding RNA is filed under the name Ananas comosus (pineapple). RNAcentral's name for it is "long non-coding RNA (ACOM_LNC008022)". The record is from RNAcentral. Lineage: Eukaryota; Viridiplantae; Streptophyta; Magnoliopsida; Poales; Bromeliaceae.
UUUGAAAAUAGGAGUAGAUCUUGUGUGCUCUUAGGAGCACGGAGGCCUCCGUGCUCCUAAGUCGUUUCAACGAUGGAGCUUCCGAAUCGGCGAUCGGCUCCGUUAAAUUUGAUCUAGCGUAUUUGAACUAUCUAGAAAAUAUUUUUUUUGAUUUUUCGGUAUCAUUUUCCUAGCGAUCGAAAGGGUUCAAAAUCAAUAAUUUUUAAUGGUUGAUGUAUACCGUUUGCAAGUUUAACGGUGUAGAAGUAUUCAAAUCAGAUAAAAUUUUGAUAGAAAAUUCUUUAUACUAUUUACAGUAAGAUCAAUAUGUUUGAUCGAAAAUUUUAACGCUAUGUCAUAACUUUUUUUUGAGAUUUUUAUUUUCAACCGUUGAUUUUGAACCCUUUAGAUCAUUAGGUAAAUAAUAUCGAAAAGUCACAAAGUUUAUUUUUAGAUACUUCAAAUACGUUAGAUCAAGUCUAACGGAGCCGAUCGUCGAUUCAAAAGCUCCAUCAUCGAAAACGGCUUAGGAGCACGGAAGCCUCCGUGCUCCUAAUA